GCUGCACCUGUGGGAAGCCGACUGGCAGGUCAGUGGCCUCCUGUGUAUUUCAAACUCCCCCUUGAACUUGUCCUGUCUGUGGAAAGCAAGGACCUAGGGGCUGGAUUAAACUGGACGGCCAGGCUUCGGUGGCCCCUUGCGCAGCGGGGACGCUGAGAUGCUGAGGGACCCAGCCCAGUUCCUUCCGCCCGCACCUGGGUGGCGAGGAUGGCAGCUCCACACCCUGUGGCCUUUUGCUCCAGGAGCUGCAGUGGUUGCCAGGAGGCACUCGAGAAGCGGCUUUCAGGGCCCCAAGUUGCCAGGGCAUCCUGGACCCUGCCAGCUGGGCUGGGUGUGUGGUGGCUUCCGGGGAGGCGAGCGCGGUCUCUCGGGUCCCUGGACUCCUGUCUGCCUGCGUCUGCGCUGGCUCAGCCCUCUCACGCUGCCUCUCUCUCCCCUUCCAGUUCCUUCCUCCUUGUGCUGGGCGCAGAAGACCCUGAGAUUGCUGGGCGAGGCCCAUGGAUGUCGCUGUCCCCGCGGGUUCCUGACCCGAUGCUCACCCCCCUCGGUCACCAUGGCGGCCUGCAGGAGGCGUGGCCCCCCCGGAUGAGCAGCAGCCUCCAGGGGCCCCCUCUGCGGCGGCGGGGUGGCGUGGUGGACUACCGGGAUGUCAUCUUGGCCCACCAGGCACACAAGACCCACAGCACCCCGCAGGCCCGGAGGAAGGAGUGGGAGAUGGUGGUUGGAGCAGGUUUUGUUGAACUGUGGAACUUGAGGUGCCGAUCAGCUUAUCUGACAUGUUAAGGAGACUGUGUGGGCCUGAGGGGCUCCUCGAUGGCGGCAGCACGAAGGCCCCCACCAGGAAGACUAAGGCCGGGAAGAGGUCUUUCCAUCCUGCUCCCGACCUCUGGGGAGGAAAGAGGACUGCAGUUGAGUUCAGUCUGCUAUGGUCACUGAUGUAAUCCAUCACAACUGAGCAAGAGGGCUCUCAUGGAUGCCUAGGAACAAGACAGUCCCAAAGGGGGACAGUCCGACAGGUCUUGGAUUGACGAAAGCUGAGGACAUUACACUCCGUGAAGCAAACCAGUCACCAACAGACAAAUACACCAUUCCCCUUCUAGAUAUCUUCCCAAGAGAGUUAAAGACAUCAUAUCUCAAAGAUCCGUGCAUACCCAUGUUUAUAGCAGCACAAUUCCUAACAACUAAAUCUUGGAAACAGACUAUAUAUCCAUCAUCAGAUGACUGCAUACAGAAAAUGUGGUAUUUAUAUAAAGUGGAGUACUACUCUGCCAUAAAGAAGGAGCCAUUUGUAGAAACUUGAGUCACGGGUAGGAAAAUGGCUGUUAUUGUUGUUGUUGUUGUUGGUACCGGGGAUCGAACUGGGGACCUUGCACUUGUGAAGCAGGCAGUGGCACCACUGAACUAAAUCCCAGGCCUGAGACCAUAAUAUUAAGUGAAAUAAAUCAGACAAACAGGCUUACAUAUUGCGUGAGAAACCCAAAGUAUAAAUAAAUUAAAGAGCAGAAUAAAAGAUGGAUAGUAGGAAAUAGGGAGAUAGAUCUUUUGCAAAGAGGGAGGGGAUCAAGAGGCGUAGGGAGAGGGAUGUGUAGGGAAGGGGAUAAAAAAAGAAUUAAGAUGUGUUACGUACACGAACCAAGCCCACGCAAGGGAUGUCAUCAUUAUGUACUAUGAACAUGGACUAAGGAAAAGUGCAAUGGAAAUAGAACCCUCCCAAAAGACAAACACGGCACUAUUCUACUAACAUAGGCUGCUUGUUAGUACAGCAGGUGAAAUUCUUCAAGAUCUAAACAGAGGAGUUGGGGAGGGGGGCACUGACCGAGUAGGGGAGGGGUAGGACUGAAUUUAAUGGGGACAAAGUCUCAUUUUAGGAAGGCAAAAAGUUCCAUAGAGAGAUGGUGGUGAAGGGUAUGUAGUUAAUGCUCCUGAACUUUGCACUUAUAGAUAGGUUGUAAAUUUGGUGUUGUUGUUGCCUGGCAAACGCAAGGUCCUGAGUGUGAUUCCCAGGACUAGGGGAGAAAAAAAACAAAAAAAGAGGAGCCUUCCUCUCAGCCAUGUGGUGGUUGGAGGAGGGGAAGGAGUGAGGAUUCUGUGCGUUCAAGUGUGUAACGAUGAUGCCUGAACCAGGGAAUGGGUCGGGGAAAUAGUUCACAAGUGGCUGGCUCACAAAUUGUGUGGCAGUAGUGAAAAAGUCUUUGCCUCUGUUUAGAUCUGGUCCACAUGGCUUAUAGAAGACUGUAUCAUCCAGACUCAGGCUCACAGAGGAGCCUAAACUGGGGUUCACGAUUUGACCAUCUCAGAUGCGGGCUUGUGGUCUGCUUGGCAAAUAUGAAGAGAUGUGCAUGAACUGAAUCAUGUGGAGCCUGUGUGGAGAGUUUCGUGUGGUCCUGCCAGGACAGGCUGGUGGGCUGCACGGGGGCAGGCUGAGAAACAAGAGAAGCUGAUGUUGUUUAUGGCCAGAAGUCCAAAAUCAAGGUGGGCUUCGGGGAGAAGUUGAUCCAGCACUGUUUUCAUCUGUCAAGGAUACAAACAGUUAAGAUGGUUGUAGCUGCAGUGGGGG
Fukomys damarensis (Damara mole-rat) is the source of this 2557-nucleotide long non-coding RNA. The record is from Ensembl. NCBI's taxonomy places the organism in Eukaryota, Metazoa, Chordata, Mammalia, Rodentia, Bathyergidae.